Molecule: ribosomal RNA, 496 nt
Filed under: uncultured bacterium
Lineage: Bacteria
Description: partial 16S ribosomal RNA
Rfam family: Bacterial small subunit ribosomal RNA
Source: RNAcentral
GAUGAACGCUGGCGGCGUGCCUAAUACAUGCAAGUCGAGCGAACAGAUAAGGAGCUUGCUCCUUUGACGUUAGCGGCGGACGGGUGAGUAACACGUGGGUAACCUACCUAUAAGACUGGGAUAACUUCGGGAAACCGGAGCUAAUACCGGAUAACAUUUGGAACCGCAUGGUUCUAAAGUGAAAGAUGGUUUUGCUAUCACUUAUAGAUGGACCCGCGCCGUAUUAGCUAGUUGGUAAGGUAACGGCUUACCAAGGCAACGAUACGUAGCCGACCUGAGAGGGUGAUCGGCCACACUGGAAAUGAGACACGGCCCAGACCCCUACGGGAGGAAGAAGGGGGGAAUCUGCCGCAAUGGGCAAAAGCCUGACGGGGCAACGCCGGGGGAGUGAGGAAGGGUUUCGGCUCGUAAAACUCUGUUAUUAGGGAAAAAAAAAGGGGAAAGUAACGGGCAACGUCUUGAGGGUACUAAAUCAAAAAGCCACGGAAAACUACGU